This 257-nucleotide ribosomal RNA is filed under the name uncultured bacterium. RNAcentral's name for it is "partial 16S ribosomal RNA". It matches the Rfam family "Bacterial small subunit ribosomal RNA", at positions 1243 to 1500 of the family's 1533-position model. The record is from RNAcentral.
AGAGAAGCAAUACCGCGAGGUGGAGCAAAACUUCAAAAAUAGGUCUCAGUUCGGACUGUAGGCUGCAACUCGCCUACACGAAGUUGGAAUUGCUAGUAAUCGUGGAUCAGCAUGUCGCGGUGAAUACGUUCCCGGGCCUUGUACACACCGCCCGUCACACCAUGGGAGCCGGUAAUACCCGAAGUCAGUAGUCCAACCUCGUGAGGACGCUGCCGAAGGUAGGAUUGGCGACUGGGGUGAAGUCGUAACAAGGUACC